ACUACGGGAGGCAGCAGUGGGGGAUAUUGCACAAUGGGGGAAACCCUGAUGCAGCGACGCCGCGUGUGGGAAGACGGUCCUCUGGAUUGUAAACCACUGUCCCCAGGGACGAAGAUGACGGUACCUGGGGAGGAAGCUCCGGCUAACUACGUGCCAGCAGCCGCGGUAAUACGUAGGGAGCGAGCGUUGUCCGGAAUUACUGGGUGUAAAGGGAGCGUAGGCGGGACUGCAAGUUGGGUGUCAAAUCUACCGGCUCAACCGGUAUCCGCACGCAAAACUGCAGUUCUUGAGUGAAGUAGAGGCAGGCGGAAUUCCUAGUGUAGCGGUGAAAUGCGUAGAUAUUAGGAGGAACACCAGUGGCGAAGGCGGCCUGCUGGGCUUUUACUGACGCUGAGGCUCGAAAGUGUGGGGAGCAAACAGGAUUAGAUACCCUAGUAGUC
This 440-nucleotide ribosomal RNA is filed under the name uncultured bacterium. RNAcentral's name for it is "partial 16S ribosomal RNA". It matches the Rfam family "Bacterial small subunit ribosomal RNA", at positions 338 to 795 of the family's 1533-position model. The record is from RNAcentral.